GAACCGGGUACACGAUCAAGAUAUUACAAAAUAAUAUUUUGAGAAAUUACAACUCAAAAUAAUUGAAAUAUUACAAAGUAAAUAAUUUGAGAAAUUACAACUCAAAUAAUUUGAUACAACUGAAAUACACUGUAUAAAUAAAUUAUACGUAUAAACAAAAUCGAGUCGAGAUGAAUCUCUUCCCGCAAGAAGAUUAUCGCCCCGGUAGUGCUCUUCGGUUUGGCGUAUCUUCCCCAAAGGUAAAACGACUACGUCUCGGCGGAUGUAGCACCACAAUCCGGCGAGCUCCGGCGAACUGAAUAAGGAUCGAAAACUGAGCUAGAGGUGGAAUGCAGAAUGCAGACUAUUUUGUGAGUUGUGAGUUGUGAGUUUUCAGAGUGAAUUCUAAAGCUCACCACACACCCAUAUUUAUAGGUGUUAAACCGAG
Molecule: long non-coding RNA, 427 nt
Filed under: Salvia miltiorrhiza (redroot sage)
Lineage: Eukaryota; Viridiplantae; Streptophyta; Magnoliopsida; Lamiales; Lamiaceae
Description: long non-coding RNA (SMIL_LNC009488)
Source: RNAcentral